This 69-nucleotide ribosomal RNA is filed under the name Acidithiobacillus caldus. Its description in RNAcentral is "partial 23S ribosomal RNA". The record is from RNAcentral. Lineage: Bacteria; Pseudomonadati; Pseudomonadota; Acidithiobacillia; Acidithiobacillales; Acidithiobacillaceae.
GAUAUAUGGUCAAGUGAAUAAGGGCAUACGGUGGAUGCCUUGGCGGAAACAGGCGAUGAAGGACGUGGG